AAUUUUGGACAAUGGGGGAAACCCUGAUCCAGCCAUCCCGCGUGUAUGAUGAAGGCCUUCGGGUUGUAAAGUACUUUUGGCAGAGAAGAAAAGGUAUCCCCUAAUACGGGCUACUGCUGACGGUAGCUGCAGAAUACGCACUGACGAACUACGUACCAGCAGCCGCGGUAAUCCGUAGGGUGCAAGCGUUAAUCGUAAUUACUGGGCGUAAAACUUGUGUAGGCGAGUAGGAAAGAAAGAUGUGAAAUCCCAGGGCUCAACCUUGGAACUGCAUUUUUAACUGCCGAGCUAGAGUAUGUCAGAGGGGGGUAGAAUUCCACGUGUAGCAGUGAAAUGCGUAGAUAUGUGGAGGAAUACCGAUGGCGAAGGCAGCCCCCUGGGAUAAUACUGACGCUCAGACACGAAAGCGUGGGGAGCAAACAGG
Molecule: ribosomal RNA, 424 nt
Filed under: uncultured bacterium
Lineage: Bacteria
Description: partial 16S ribosomal RNA
Rfam family: Bacterial small subunit ribosomal RNA
Source: RNAcentral